AACGAACGCUGGCGGCAGGCCUAACACAUGCAAGUCGAGCGAGGACUUCGGUCCUAGCGGCGGACGGGUGAGUAACGCGUGGGAACGUGCCCUUUGGUACGGAAUAGCCCCGGGAAACUGGGAGUAAUACCGUAUGGUGUCUUCGGACUAAAGAUUUAUCGCCAAAGGAUCGGCCCGCGUUGGAUUAGGUAGUUGGUGGGGUAAUGGCCUACCAAGCCGACGAUCCAUAGCUGGUUUGAGAGGAUGAUCAGCCACACUGGGACUGAGACACGGCCCAGACUCCUACGGGAGGCAGCAGUGGGGAAUCUUAGACAAUGGGGGCAACCCUGAUCUAGCCAUGCCGCGUGAGUGAUGAAGGCCCUAGGGUUGUAAAGCUCUUUCAGCUGGGAAGAUAAUGACGGUACCAGCAGAAGAAGCCCCGGCUAACUCCGUGCCAGCAGCCGCGGUAAUGUAGACGU
This 458-nucleotide ribosomal RNA is filed under the name uncultured bacterium. Its description in RNAcentral is "bacterial SSU rRNA". It matches the Rfam family "Bacterial small subunit ribosomal RNA", at positions 29 to 532 of the family's 1533-position model. The record is from RNAcentral.